Molecule: ribosomal RNA, 279 nt
Filed under: uncultured bacterium
Lineage: Bacteria
Description: partial 16S ribosomal RNA
Rfam family: Bacterial small subunit ribosomal RNA
Source: RNAcentral
UGCCAGCAGCCGCGGUAAUACGGAGGGUGCAAGCGUUAAUCGGAAUUACUGGGCGUAAGGCGAGCGUAGGCGGAUUGAUAAGUUGGAUGUGAAAGCCCCGGGCUUAACCUGGGAACUGCAUUCAAAACUGUCAGUCUAGAGUAUAGGAGAGGAGAGUAGAAUUUCUGGUGUAGCGGUGAAAUGCGUAGAGAUCAGAAAGAAUACCGGUGGCGAAGGCGACUCUCUGGCCUAAUACUGACGCUGAGGUUCGAAAGCGUGGGGAGCAAACAGGAUUAGAUA